Molecule: ribosomal RNA, 1397 nt
Filed under: uncultured bacterium
Lineage: Bacteria
Description: bacterial SSU rRNA
Rfam family: Bacterial small subunit ribosomal RNA
Source: RNAcentral
AGAGUUUGAUCCUGGCUCAGGAUGAACGCUAGCUACAGGCUUAACACAUGCAAGUCGAGGGGCAGCAUGAACUUAGCUUGCUAAGUUUGAUGGCGACCGGCGCACGGGUGAGUAACACGUAUCCAACCUGCCGAUGACUCGGGGAUAGCCUUUCGAAAGAAAGAUUAAUACCCGAUGGCAUAGUUCUUCCGCAUGGUAGAACUAUUAAAGAAUUUCGGUCAUCGAUGGGGAUGCGUUCCAUUAGGUUGUUGGCGGGGUAACGGCCCACCAAGCCUUCGAUGGAUAGGGGUUCUGAGAGGAAGGUCCCCCACAUUGGAACUGAGACACGGUCCAAACUCCUACGGGAGGCAGCAGUGAGGAAUAUUGGUCAAUGGGCGCGAGCCUGAACCAGCCAAGUAGCGUGAAGGAUGAAGGCUCUAUGGGUCGUAAACUUCUUUUAUAUGGGAAUAAAGUUUUCCACGUGUGGAAUUUUGUAUGUACCAUAUGAAUAAGGAUCGGCUAACUCCGUGCCAGCAGCCGCGGUAAUACGGAGGAUCCGAGCGUUAUCCGGAUUUAUUGGGUUUAAAGGGAGCGUAGGUGGAUUGUUAAGUCAGUUGUGAAAGUUUGCGGCUCAACCGUAAAAUUGCAGUUGAAACUGGCAGUCUUGAGUACAGUAGAGGUGGGCGGAAUUCGUGGUGUAGCGGUGAAAUGCUUAGAUAUCACGAAGAACUCAGAUUGCGAAGGCAGCUCACUAGACUGUCACUGACACUGAUGCUCGAAAGUGUGGGUAUCAAACAGGAUUAGAUACCCUGGUAGUCCACACAGUAAACGAUGAAUACUCGCUGUUUGCGAUAUACAGUAAGCGGCCAAGCGAAAGCAUUAAGUAUUCCACCUGGGGAGUACGCUGGCAACGGUGAAACUCAAAGGAAUUGACGGGGGCCCGCACAAGCGGAGGAACAUGUGGUUUAAUUCGAUGAUACGCGAGGAACCUUACCCGGGCUUAAAUUGCAACAGAAUAUAUUGGAAACAGUAUAGCCGUAAGGCUGUUGUGAAGGUGCUGCAUGGUUGUCGUCAGCUCGUGCCGUGAGGUGUCGGCUUAAGUGCCAUAACGAGCGCAACCCUUAUCUUUAGUUACUAACAGGUUAUGCUGAGGACUCUAGAGAGACUGCCGUCGUAAGAUGUGAGGAAGGUGGGGAUGACGUCAAAUCAGCACGGCCCUUACGUCCGGGGCUACACACGUGUUACAAUGGGGGGUACAGAAGGCGGCUACCUGGUGACAGGAUGCUAAUCCCAAAAACCUCUCUCAGUUCGGAUCGAAGUCUGCAACCCGACUUCGUGAAGCUGGAUUCGCUAGUAAUCGCGCAUCAGCCAUGGCGCGGUGAAUACGUUCCCGGGCCUUGUACUCACCGCCCGUCAAG